This 516-nucleotide ribosomal RNA is filed under the name uncultured Glomeromycotina. RNAcentral describes it as "SSU rRNA". It matches the Rfam family "Eukaryotic small subunit ribosomal RNA", at positions 548 to 1065 of the family's 1831-position model. The record is from RNAcentral. Lineage: Eukaryota; Fungi; Glomeromycota.
UUGGAGGGCAAGUCUGGUGCCAGCAGCCGCGGUAAUUCCAGCUCCAAUAGCGUAUAUUAAAGUUGUUGCAGUUAAAAAGCUCGUAGUUGAAUUUCGGGGUCAGUAGAUUGGUCGUGCCACUGGUAUGUACUGGUCUUACUGGCUCCUCCUUCCUGAUGAACCGUAAUGCCAUUAAUUUGGUGUUGCGGGGAGACUGGACUGUUACUUUGAAAAAAUUAGAGUGUUUAAAGCAGGCUAACGCUUGAAUACAUUAGCAUGGAAUAAUGAAAUAGGACGUUCGAUCUUAUUUUGUUGGUUUCUAGGAUUGACGUAAUGAUUAAUAGGGAUAGUUGGGGGCAUUAGUAUUCAAUUGUCAGAGGUGAAAUUCUUGGAUUUAUUGAAGACUAACUACUGCGAAAGCAUUUGCCAAGGAUGUUUUCAUUUAAUCAAGAACGAAAGUUAGGGGAUCGAAGACGAUCAGAUACCGGUCUAGUCUUAACCAUAAAACUUAUGCCGACUAGGGGAUCGGAUGAUGUU